AGAGUUUGAUCCUGGCUCAGAUUGAACGCUGGCGGCAUGCCUUACACAUGCAAGUCGAACGGUAACGGGCCUUCGGGUGCCGACGAGUGGCGAACGGGUGAGUAAUGUAUCGGAACGUACCAUUCAGUGGGGGAUAACGUAGCGAAAGUUACGCUAAUACCGCAUAUUCUGUGCGCAGGAAAGCAGGGGAUCGCAAGACCUUGCGCUGAUUGAGCGGCCGAUAUCAGAUUAGCUAGUUGGUGAGGUAAAAGCUCACCAAGGCGACGAUCUGUAGCGGGUCUGAGAGGAUGAUCCGCCACACUGGAACUGAGACACGGUCCAGACUCCUACGGGAGGCAGCAGUGGGGAAUUUUGGACAAUGGGCGCAAGCCUGAUCCAGCCAUGCCGCGUGAGUGAAGAAGGCCUUCGGGUUGUAAAGCUCUUUCAGCCGGGAAGAAAACGCAUGGGUUAAUACCCUGUGUGGAUGACGGUACCGGAAUAAGAAGCACCGGCUAACUACGUGCCAGCAGCCGCGGUAAUACGUAGGGUGCGAGCGUUAAUCGGAAUUACUGGGCGUAAAGCGUGCGCAGGCGGUUUGGUAAGACAGGCGUGAAAUCCCCGGGCUUAACCUGGGAACUGCGUUUGUGACUGCCAGGCUAGAGUACGGCAGAGGGGGGUGGAAUUCCACGUGUAGCAGUGAAAUGCGUAGAGAUGUGGAGGAACACCAAUGGCGAAGGCAGCCCCCUGGGUCGAUACUGACGCUCAUGCACGAAAGCGUGGGUAGCAAAC
This 768-nucleotide ribosomal RNA is filed under the name bacterium enrichment culture clone 70. Its description in RNAcentral is "bacterial SSU rRNA". It matches the Rfam family "Bacterial small subunit ribosomal RNA", at positions 8 to 773 of the family's 1533-position model. The record is from RNAcentral.